RNAcentral lists this ribosomal RNA (495 nucleotides) under uncultured bacterium. RNAcentral describes it as "partial 16S ribosomal RNA". It matches the Rfam family "Bacterial small subunit ribosomal RNA", at positions 28 to 507 of the family's 1533-position model. The record is from RNAcentral.
GACGAACGCUGGCGGCGUGCCUAAUACAUGCAAGUAGAACGCUGAAGGAGGAGCUUGCUUCUCCGGAUGAGUUGCGAACGGGUGAGUAACGCGUAGGUAACCUGCCUGGUAGCGGGGGAUAACUAUUGGAAACGAUAGCUAAUACCGCAUAACAGUAGAUGUUGCAUGACAUUUGCUUAAAAGGUGCAAUUGCAUCACUACCAGAUGGACCUGCGUUGUAUUAGCUAGUUGGUGAGGUAACGGCUCACCAAGGCGACGAUACAUAGCCGACCUGAGAGGGUGAUCGGCCACACUGGGACUGAGACACGGCCCAGACUCCUACGGGAGGCAGCAGUAGGGAAUCUUCGGCAAUGGACGGAAGUCUGACCGAGCAACGCCGCGUGAGUGAAGAAGGUUUUCGGAUCGUAAAGCUCUGUUGUAAGAGAAGAACGAGUGUGAGAGUGGAAAGUUCACACUGUGACGGUAUCUUACCAGAAAGAGACGGCUAACUACGUG